Molecule: ribosomal RNA, 495 nt
Filed under: uncultured bacterium
Lineage: Bacteria
Description: partial 16S ribosomal RNA
Rfam family: Bacterial small subunit ribosomal RNA
Source: RNAcentral
GACGAACGCUGGCGGCGUGCCUAAUACAUGCAAGUAGAACGCUGAAGGAGGAGCUUGCUUCUCUGGAUGAGUUGCGAACGGGUGAGUAACGCGUAGGUAACCUGCCUGGUAGCGGGGGAUAACUAUUGGAAACGAUAGCUAAUACCGCAUAAUAGUAGAUGUUGCAUGACAUUUGCCUAAAAGGUGCAAUUGCAUCACUACCAGAUGGACCUGCGUUGUAUUAGCUAGUUGGUGGGGUAACGGCUCACCAAGGCGACGAUACAUAGCCGACCUGAGAGGGGGAUCGGCCACACUGGGACUGAGACACGGCCCAGACUCCUACGGGAGGCAGCAGUAGGGAAUCUUCGGCAAUGGACGGAAGUCUGACCGAGCAACGCCGCGUGAGUGAAGAAGGUUUUCGGAUCGUAAAGCUCGGUUGUAAGAGAAGAACGAGUGUGAGAGUGGAAAGUUCACACUGUGACGGUAUCUUACCAGAAAGGGACGGCUAACUACGUG